RNAcentral lists this ribosomal RNA (465 nucleotides) under uncultured bacterium. RNAcentral's name for it is "partial 16S ribosomal RNA". It matches the Rfam family "Bacterial small subunit ribosomal RNA", at positions 28 to 507 of the family's 1533-position model. The record is from RNAcentral.
GACGAACGCUGGCGGCGUGCUUAACACAUGCAAGUCGAACGGAAAGGCCCCUUCGGGGGUACUCGAGUGGCGAACGGGUGAGUAACACGUGAAUAACCUGCCCUUGACUUCGGGAUAACUUCAGGAAACUGGGGCUAAUACCGGAUAGGAAUCCUUGCUGCAUGGUGGGGGUUGGAAAGCUUCGGCGGUUUUGGAUGGACUCGCGGCUUAUCAGCUUGUUGGUGGGGUAGUGGCUUACCAAGGCUUUGACGGGUAGCCGGCCUGAGAGGGCGACCGGCCACAUUGGGACUGAGAUACGGCCCAGACUCCUACGGGAGGCAGCAGUGGGGAAUAUUGCACAAUGGGCGGAAGCCUGAUGCAGCAACGCCGCGUGCGGGAUGACGGCCUUCGGGUUGUAAACCGCUUUCAGCAGGGGCGAAGCUUGUGGUGACGGUACCUGCAGAAGAAGCACCGGCUAACUACGUG